UAUUUCUCAUGCAGGUUUUUCUGCUGGCGUCUCCACUCUUUCCAUGGGCUCAGUUUUGCAACACCCUCAAAAUCUUUUUCUUCCCUUUUUUCCUGGUGUUACUUUCAGCUUCUUGGUUUGCUUCAGGGCUGUGAGGAGUCUUGCCCAACAGACUCUGCAUAAGCCCUGAGUGAUGCUUGUGGCUGAGCCAUCUUACAUGGCAAGACAAUGAUGCAGAAGUGUAGGUGGUUUUUGCAUUUUUUUUUAUUGAUAUUAGUAAAUCCCAGCUGGGGAAUCUCAUAUUUUUUCCGAGUACUACAGGCUGACAGGAGGUGGGACAGGCCUGGAGGGAAAGUAAAAAAUAUGUGUUCCUCCUCUUGAAAGGUCGUCAAGAAUUGGGUGGGGGGCGAUAGCUUGGGAAGGUAAGUGGCUGUGAUGCAGCUGGAGUCUGCCCAGGUGAGGAGCCAGGACAGGUUUUCUGAUUUAUUGGGGUCUGAGUGCAAGGUUUGCAACACUGGUGCUGUGCCAUAGGCAAGAAACCUGGCAGCCCUGGGCUGCUGCGCUGGCAGAUGUGUCAGAUAACACCUACACACAAAAAUGCACACUCAGGCAUGCACACAUACACUUCUUCAGCUGUGUUGCUCAUCUGAGCUCUAGUGUACAACCGCAGAGGAUUUCCCUGUUGAGAGCCAUGGGGUAAAGGACUUUGUGGCAUAACAUGACUGUCCCAAGAAGGGGAAGAGAUAAGAGUGAAUUUGCCAUCUGUCCCCAGAGUUAUGAAACGCAACCAUAACUGUUUGUAACUUAAGGCAGCUCAAGUAGACUGAGGAAAUUACAAUGUGCUUCCACAUGUUCUAAAUCUAGGGCUCGUCCUGUGUUCCUCUGUGUAUAACCAGGGUUGAAGCCUUCCCCUUGUUGUUUUUUUCCUUUAAUUUGGUGUUCUUUGCAAUAGGACUGUUCCUCUUAACGUGCCUAAUGAAAAACACGCUCGUUUGCUGACUGUGGCAGGAGUCUCUGGCUCGGGCUGCCCUGCACGUCGCCGAGGAGUCUGAUGCUGGGGAGGGUAAUGACUCUGGGAAGUUUGACACUGAGACGACAUAUUGGGAAUAUUUACUGGGCAGGAUAAUGGAGAUGAAUUAUUUUGUUGCAAAUCAUUAGCUAUGGGCUGGCUCAAAAUGCAGAAUAACGCUUGCUAUUAGACUGGAUGCUGGAGGAUGCAAAUUUUUAGAAAACAAAAGUGGAUCUUUUCCUAGAUGGCUACAUUUGCAGACCAUUAUUUGUGUUCCCUUUCGAUAAAAUCAAGGCAAGUCUGCCUUGUGCUGAAAGCCCAGGACAGUGACGGUCCCAAACACAGGAUCGCAACCCCAGGCAGGGUUUGUGGGACGUACAAGGGAGCACCACAGGCAGGAGGGGAGGGUCUCCCCUGGAAGUGGGUUGCAAACUGGAGGCUGGGUCCCCAGGGCAAAGGUUGGCCCUGGGAAGGGCAAGCAGUGUUUCCAGACGGGGUGGAACAAACUCAUUUGUCAUUGUCAUUUUUUAAUUGUUUUCUGUGUUGUACUGCUGAUCUUUUAAUAGGGCAUGAUCUGAAACAUGAUUCUUUGCUGUGGGUGGCGUGUGUCCCUGGUCCCCGACUGUCUCUGUGCAGACAGAUGGGGAGGAUAGUCUGGGGACAGGCUGCCUUGCAAGGACAUGUCAGAAAUCUCCACCCAUCCCUGGUGCUGAGCAGGAGAAAUGUCCCGUUCCUGAUGGGCAAUGAAUUGUGAUGAGGGGACACAUCCCCUUAGGCUGUGGUUUCACAACUGUGUUAACACUCUCUUAAAGACCAUCUUUGCAGCUGCUCUCUUCUUCCUUUUUUGUCAUGCUAGUGGAUUGUGGAGAUCAUCCAGGUGACAAAAUCCUUUUAUUUUUUUUUCUCCUAAAUGAAGCUUUUCCUCCCAAAUCACAUCCAUUCCCUCGGCAGAGCAGCAUGACCAGAUACCCUGCAGCAGGUAGAGCUGAUGGGCAGGGGAUGGGGGACUCAGCUGAAGCAGCCCUGCCACCCGCUAUGAGAUGACAGAUUCAAUGUCCUGUUUUCCUGCCUGUUUAUAGCAGAUUUGGGUGAUUCUCAGCCAUCUCUGUAAAGAGCUCAUAGGUCUCCAGGGCUUGGAUUUGCAAUCAGCUUGUGCUCAGUGGAGCUGGACGUAGCCAUGGUCUGAAUAACAGAAGCUUGCACAGCUGCAUGGACACCUGCAGUAUCUGUCCUGUGGGUGGGAACUGAAGCCAUGCAACAUCCCCUCAAAACAAAGCCAGCACGACGUGUGCCACCACCAGGAUGGGACAUGCAGCGGGUGCAUCUGUGUGUGUCCCAGCCCCGGCAGGAAGCCGACUUCAAAGAGCCCGUGGAGCUUAUGCAGGAUUGUAUCAGUUUUCAUGACACAGAUCUGCUGCAGACCAGGGAUUUGCCCUCAGUGGAUCCUUUUAGCCUGCAUACACAACCGGUCCUGAGUGAUUGAUAUGAAUUCAACCCAGCACCUCUGGUUUUGAAAAAGGAGUUUUCAUCUGGAGAACAACAUCCCAGGUUCUCCCUCCACACAUUCAUCAAAUUGGGGGAUGAAAUGGCCGCCAGUGGAAGAGGGCACUGACUGUUUACACAAACCUCGCUGCCCAGCUGCAAGCCUGGCUCUUUCAUCUGCGGCUCCGGUGUUGCAGCCUGGAAGGUGCGAUCCCAUGGGGACAUGGGCAGCUCCUGGGGGUGAUGCUCCGGGACAGUGUCAUCAGCUCUGCCUGGCCCCCUGCCUUCAAACACACCAUCACCCAAGCUGUGAAACAGGCUACUGUGUCUAACAGUGGGGUUUGAACAUCUAAGAAAUAAGGGGAGUUGUCAGCAGGUUCUGGUCUGAUUUUUCAGUUAGGGAAAUGGAUUCACUUGUUCUGGUUUUCCUACUUAACUAAAAUCUAGUUAUAAGCAUUUUCUUCCCCUACUUUUUUUAAUCAUAGAGUACUUUGGCUUGGAAGGGACCUUCAAAGGUCUAGUCCAACCCCUGUCAUGAGCAGGGACAUCUUCACCAGCUCAGGUUGCUCAGAGCUCCAUCCAGCCUGGCCUGGGAUGUCUCCAGGGAUGGUUCAUCUACCACCUCUCUGGCCAACCUGGGACAGGCUCUCACCACCCUCAUUGUAAAAAAUUUCUUCCUCAUGUCUAGCCUGCAUCUCCCCUGUUUUAGUUCAAGAACAUCACCCCUUGUCCUAUUGUAACAUCAUUCCUGAUACUGUUCCCUACAGGCCUUAAAUAAGAAUUUGACAUUGGCCAGUCAAAAUGCCUGAUACAAUGGUCUCAUAAGUUUACGUAUGACUGACACCAAAGCAUGUUUAAUCUAUGUUUGCCAGCAACUAGAUUUGGGUUUCCUUUGCUUUGCUUAUUAUCUUCCUUCUGCAUUAGCUCCAGUGGAAGUUCUUGUAAAAAGCAUUGCAUAGACAGUCAGGUGUUGCUGUGUGAGUCACUCAGGGUUUAAGGACAGGUAUUUACCCCACAGCAGACAGCAGUACUGCCAGCGCUUCCCACCUGGCCGUGGAGUACACAGAUGGGUGCUGGCUUUAGAAACAGGGAGAUGUGAGUUAACCCAGCAGGUCUGGAUGGAGAAGGUGCAGGAUUUGGCCAUGGUGUUUAGCAUGUGCCCGAUCAACAGGACAGCUUUUGGCUGGAGACCUCUUUGGUUUCAAAACACUUAUCUGAGGAAGAAGACUAAGAGAACAGGUGUACUGAAAGAGACAGCCUUGGAGAUGCAUUUGGAGUCAUCUUCGUCUGUUUGAAAACUGUUUUAAACUAAUUUAGCCCAGAUGGGUCGGUGCCCUGGUGGAUGUGUUCAGACCUCUUGCAGGGGUGUAUAGAGCCCUGGUGGUGUUGGAAGUGGUUCCUUGUGCUGUGGGAUAGGGCCUGAACUAGUUGCUGUGACACUACAGGGUUGCAGACAGACACCAAACUUAAUUAACUGAAAAAUUAAGAACCAGCAAAGCUCUUUUACAGGCUCAGGUGGUUGUGAGAGCAAUAGCCUCCCCCAGAGGGGGGCUGGGGUGCUCCUGGAGCCCCCUCCCAGCAUCUCUCUCCCUUUUCCCACUGCAAUGCUGCAUCUCCCAUCCCAGCCACUCUGGUUGGGAGCACUCCCUGGGCUCCUUCUCUAAGCAUACUGCCUUUUUAUUCAGGUGAAGCUGCAGAGGAAAUCCAGCAAUCUUGAAUUUCCUCACCAUGCUCAGGGGUGCUUUUCCCUUCCCCACUGCCUUUUACCCCAGACCGGUGUUUGACGUGCUUGUUUUGGGAAAGCACAAGGCAUAAAGCAUACAAGGAACUGUCUACAGCUGCAGGGAAGGUCGUAAAAAACAGGAUUACACCCUUUCCACAUGGCAGCCUGCUGCUUCUCUUCAUGGGCUGCAGAGGAGGCUGCAAAGACGUAUAUUCUUGGGAAAGGGAAGGGAUCUUAUAUGAACACGACAGCUCAAAAGCAAGGUUGGCUCUUGCUGGUGGAGCAGCUGAUGGAGCAGGGUUGGGAAGAGGCAUCCAUGCCAUGGUCUUCUGCAGGACUGGCUGCAUGGGGCUGUGGUGAGCUGGGAUGAGGAGGAGGUUUGCCUGGACAUGAAGCUCUCCAGAGGAUCUCAGAGUGCUGAUCUUAUCAUGCUCUGGGUGUAAUAGGUGAUGAAUGGAGCCUUAUCUAGCUUGUACAAUUAAUAUGAUAGCUCAACAUUUUGAAAGUAUUGAGAUAUCCAUUUAGGUUCCCUUUAUUCUGUCCUCUUUGGGUUUUCAGGCUUUGGGUCCUGAAUUUAUAGGUACAGAGCAAGCCGAGAUACCAAGCAGAACAAUUUCAAGGUAAAAGACCAUGCAAGUGGAUUAAAUUUUGGCACCAUUUCAUUGGUCUGUAAUGUAACAAACACUGUCUUUUAAGCAACAUUUGCUUUCAUUUACCACAAUAAAAACCUAGCUCAGGGAGUGAAGAUCAAUUUGGGGAUGAUCUGAGAUCUUUCAAUUUUAGGGACUAUCAGCACAGCCCUUGUAGCAGAAGUGAAAUGCCUCCCAUGGACUCCCAUGGCAUGGCAGGGCUGCUGUCCUCAGGAAAGGGUGAAGAAUUGGGCACUGGAGGGGGACUCGGCCCAGAUCACCAAGUGAAUGUGUGACAAAAAUCUGACAGGGGCUUUCACCUGGGGAGCAGAAAUCCCACACUUGCAAUACAACCCAGUGCCACCCAGUUGGGGAAACAACCUUCUAGGAGAAAAUUGCCCAGGGUUUCUGCUCAUGUCCAGCCUCUGGUGGUGGAUUAUUUUUAUGUACAGGAGAGAUGACCAGCUGUGACCUUCUUGAAAGCAAAGAUCUGUCAGGAGCUCCAGACUCCAAGGCGGGACUGUGACCCAAGGUGCUGGUCUCUCUCUGAGAGCUGCAACUUAUACUCAGAGAGAGACUAGCAAUUUAUACCCUGCAGUGAAGCUUAAAAUGUCUUUUCAGCAUCACUCACAGCUUUUUCUUUUAUCAGAUUUGGGUCCUUGCCUAAGAGACAGUCUCUGAACCACACGAAGGCACCAUGGUGAUGUAGUCGUAACCACGAGGUAGCGUUAAAUCUCUGUUUUUUACAAUGGGGUUUGUUUCUCCAGGGGUUCAUCCUUGAAUUCAAACCAGGCAAAGCUUUCUCUGCACAAUAACUACACAGGACUUGUAGUCUCUGUUCAGCAGUUUUUCUGCUGCUGGUGGGGCAAUGGAACAUGUGGCUGGUACAAAAAAAGCUGCUUUUGGCAGUAUUUUGGUGUAGGGCUGUAGGAAGCAUUUUACAGCAAAUGCCCAGCUUUGCAGUCAGCUGGCUGCAUGGUUUUGCCUUCACUGGUAAUUAUCAGCUCCCUGUGUCAUCAGAUCUGUUUCAGUGGCUUUCAAAGCACUUGUGCCUUCUUCAGUUAACGGCAGAGAAGUGUCGUCUUAGUCACGGACACUUCUGGAAAAAGAGCUCAUUUUUGCACCAACAGCCCUGUCUCCACAUACGCAUCUCAAAGGCACCCGGUGGCUCACAGCCUGAACACUGUUGCACAGGCAUUACUAAUUGACCCCUCUAAUGCAGGGAAAGCUUAAGGGUUUCAAAGGCUGCCUCAAGUCCUUGAAGAGCCCUCCAAAUUCCUGUCCUGUCUGCAGGGUGCUGCUGGCUACCUAUGCAAUGCCCAGUGUCAUGUAGCCUUUUAUUGUCCCCAAGUCCCAUUGCCAGCAUCUUAACCUUGCCCUGUGCAAGUGAGUUUGCUGCUGGGGAGCUUGCUUGGAGGGAAAAAUCUCUUAAGGAUAAGACUUAUGCUUCCAAUCAGCCUGUUCUGGAAAUCAAUAUGAAGCAAAAAUGACAGUGGGAUGAUCCAGCCAGUCUUUCAUCCCUAACGAGAAGUUCCUAAUGAGAGCCUCCUCCUUCUGCCAUGGGCCUGUGUCAUUGUGCCUCUCCAUAUUGUUGUAGCAGAGCAAAGGAGGAGUGGGGGGAAAGAUCAUUUAGCACGUGAAAGGCACCUCUUGUAUGGGGCUACAUGCAUGACACAGUUCAGCCGGGGUGAGCAACCAGCUCCUGCCAAACUGUAAUGUAUGAGGCAGAAAGGUCAAAAGUUCUCCUUUACAAUCAGCAAGAAAGGAGAAGCCAGGUGAUGGUCACUUAAUUUGUGGAUUUUUCCCUCUACUUGUCAAGAGAAGUUUGGGCUGAGGUGAUGGAUGAGUCAUCGGUUUAAGUCAGACGCUUGGUCUUUUGUCUCUGUUCCUAAAGGGCCCAAUUCAAGCCCCGGCCAAGUCGAUGGGAGUCCAUCCACCAAUGCCACCGAGUCCUUGAUUUGGAUUACGAAGGCUGUGGAGCGACUGGGUUGAACAGUCUGCCUUUCUGUGUGCUCAGCAUUGCGCAUCUUGGGUCCCCAGUUGCUGCUGUUAUGGGGCAGGACAUUUCCAGACCAGAGUCUUGCUAACAUUUGCCACUGAUUCCUCACAUUUCUUUCCCCAGUCCCUCACCAUGCAGCUGCUUUGAUGUGCAGUAGGAGCAAGCAAUGAGCAGAUCCUUGCUCAUGCCUUCCUGCUUAUCUGGCCACGCAUACUGUUAAUAUUUCCUCUAAGGCACUCAGCUCCCAUGAUAACACUGCUUUAUCAACAAAGAGCCUUGAAAUAUUUUGCUGGAGAAAGGGACAUUUCCACAGUUCUAUUGCAGUAUCUAUGGCCCCUAAUGGUUUGAUUCAGUGGGAUCUGUUCUGCAAUCAGCUCACACAGUCGUACACAAGCACAGGCCAUCUGGCACCUAAUAUUGUCCCGUGUUACUCAUUGUAUGUAGUAGACUAGGAGAACUGAGUCGGAUCUGCAAGCACGAAUCACAGAAUCAUAGAAUCAUUUUAGUUGGAAGAAACUGUCAAGACUAUCGAAUCCAGCCAUUAACCUAAUACUGUCAUUAAACCAUGUCCCUAAGAACCUCAUCUUUGGGUCAUUUAAACCCCUCCAGGGAUGGUGACUCCACCACUUCCAUGGGCAGCCCAUUCCAGUGCCUGACAACACUUUUUGUGAAGAAAUUUUUCUUAAUAUCCAAUCUAAACCUCCCCUGGUACAACUUAAGGCCAUUUCCUCUCAUUCUACGACUUGACACUUUGGAGAAGAGACUAAAAACCACCAGUUUCCUCAGCUGCUCCUCAUAAGACUUGUUCUCUAUAUCCUUCACCAGCUUCAUUGCCCUCCUCUGAACUCACUCCAGCACAUCAAUGUCUUUCUUGUUGUGAGGGGCCCAAAAUUCAACACAGCAUGAAAAGUUAGCUUGAAGUUAGUGCAGACAGCAAGGGAUGGCUCAGCCUCUCUGCUGAUACCUGGCAGGGAGUCCUUGACCUAGGUGCUUCUAGCAGCUUCUUUUCAUGUGGGACUGAGACCUCAGUGUGUGCAGUAAGUGCUUCCUCCUCCCAUGUCCCAGUGCCCAGAUGUGCAGGCUAGAGAGAUGCUCCAGUGCGCUCUCCCCUGCGAACAGAUCUGUGCAGUGUGGGAAAUGGAAUCACAAACGUGUGGAGGUCACAGCUCACACUUAUCUUUGUCCAAGGCCUGGGUUAGGUGCAGACUUUCUGAGUUUGGUAUAGAAGAAAGAAGAGGCAACAUGAACUUUCUUCUUUGCUCCUCUCUAUUAACCCCAGCUGGGGUGAACGUGCUUCCAGCCAUAUAACAUUGGCAUGGCCAAGUGGUUCCCUCUACAGAAAGGUAGCUGAAUAUAUUCUCCACCAUCACUGGUGUUGGUUGGCUUGAGUAAAAUCAUCUUCCUGGGGCAUCUACCACAUCUCUGGGCAACUUCUUCCAGUGUUUUACCACCAUCAUUGUAAAAUGUCUUGCAGACUGUGUGAAGAUUGUUUCUUCUCAGUCUGGAUGAAGAGGUUGGGGACUAUGGGAUUUUCUCACAUCACUGGCUGGAAAACCUGCAUUGUCUGGUCAGAGUCUGCAGACACUGUCACAUGCCUGAGUGCUCACAGACUGGAUGGUUUGUAUUGGCCUGGGAUGAAGUAACGCUAAUCUUGUCUCUGCUACAUGUCUCCUGGGAGACUUAGUCUGUUCUCUGCUGGCCCCAUCAGGACCUGGCAUAAAAUGCUAUGAAAAACUGUUUCUUAUGGGAGUGGAACAGAAGCUGGUUUUGUGUUUCUUAAUCAGCCUCUUUUUUUAGAGUGACACUCAUGGGGAGGACACAGUUGUGACUUCCAUUGAAUAGAUAGCUUGGCAUUUUGAUUUGGAGUCUAUGAAAGCAUUUUGGAACUCACCAAUUAAAAUGGUUUAGAUAAUAAGUAAACACAAAUAAUAAAUAUGAAAAAUAAUUGGGAAGUCCAUGGAGACAUGCUGCGCCUAAGACCAAGCUGGCAUUUGUAGUCUUUGUGUCUAGGCCAUGGCUGUUUCUGGAAUAUUGUAGCUCCAUGAGGAUAUUCUACUACCAGUAAAUGUAUAUGCGUGCAUAUUUUAUGUAAGGGACUGGAUGGAGUCCCAGAACUGUGUUUUCCAGGAUCCUGUUUCUUAAUGCCUGGGACCAUGUUCAAGAGGUCAGAGGAACACAGAUCUCCUGAUCAGAACAUGGGUGAAGAGUCCUGGAAGACUCUCUAGCCUUGGGGACUGUUCAAGUUAUGAGUGUUGUCUUUGGAUGAUGGCAAAAGUUUAAUAAAUGCUGCAGCUGUAGAAAGCAGCCUCACUGGAGAGCAUAGCUCUCCAUGUCAAUAUGCGAUUUACAUUUCCAGCCUGCAUGUAUCCAGCCUGCAUGACUCAGUCAAUGGGGUGGGCAGAUCCAGCGCUUACUUUGGCAGAGUAGUUCCCCAAAUCUUGUUUAAUUAGAACUCAGACCAGCUUCCCGGAGAUUGUGGGAACCUCAUUAGCAGCACAAAUAGAAACUUGAAGAGGCCAACUCAGUGGGAAAAGAUUGCUUGCUAAGAACUUUACUUACCAAGAACUUAACCUCUUCAAGAGUCAUGUCUCUUAGGUACAGCAGGAGGAUUUGUGUCUGGAAUACAAGAUCUCUUGCAAUCUUUCAAAUGUUGGAGGGGUUUUUUUUGCAAUGUGAAUUUAAACCUAUCGAAAUAGUAGACAAAAUCUUUUUGGCCUGACAGUCUCCAGUUGUCUUCUCUUGAAUUGGUUUCAAUUCUUGUUGUUUGUCUUGAUACUCUUUCAUUGUUUGGAGAUGCUGAUUGAUGAUUUGCUGUCCUCAUCCUUGUCUCACUUGGCGAUGUUACUUUAUAUUUUAUUAUAUUUAUAUUUGUUGGUCUAUAAUAAAUCCAGGAUUUUUUCAAAUUCUAAAGAUGUGCUACCAGAGGUUUAGACACCUAGCUCACAUAUAGACAGCUAAAUUUUGUUCACCUAAUCUCAGAUAACAUCCCACCUACUGUGUCUUGAGAAGGUUCUAGACAGGUCUCCCUCUGAAAGCUGAGCACUGUCUGCCUGUCUGCUUCAGGACUGGCAUGGAAGGGUGUUAUAAAGUACAAUCAGAGUGCUUGAAUAGUUGCUCAGUAAAUACAUGUGCUUGUGUGUGUUUGUGAGAACCGGAUGAAGUUUCAGGGCUGUGUUUUGCAGUUGUUCUGUUCCCUUUAAGUUUGGAGCUAUGCCGAAGAGGCUAAAGGGACCCAGAUCUGUUGAACAGAACGCGGCCAGAAGAGUCCUGGAAGAGCAGCUGAUUGUUCAUUUCCUAUCCUCAUCCCAGCCUCAUCCUGGCAAAGUUGUCCUAUAUUUCAGAGGAGAUAUAUGUGUAGGUUUGUAAAAAAAUCCUUUUUUUUCUUUUUUCUACCCUAAAGACAUUAUUGUCUUCCUCCUUCUUUGGCCUAAUCAGAUAUGGAGAGGGAAAAACAGGAUGACUGUAUCUACCUACUGACACAGCAUUGCUUACCAAGUCAUGAGAAUGAAUGAGGUUGGUGUUUUUAUUCUUUGUUAAUUAAAUGCAUCUCACCCAAUCAGGAAAGAAAUCAAAUCUCCAGUUAAAAUAAAGGAAGAUCAAAUAAACAUGCUGUAUGUUUUGAAAGACAAUAUUGUCAGUGGAAGGGGGACAGAUCAGGGAAGAAAGACCAAGCAGUCUUUCUAGAGGAAAGACCUUUUUCACAGGCAAUUCUUAUAAGACAUAAAAAAGGUUUUUUGCUGCAAUUUUCUCUUCUGGAAUUAUCCCAGGCUGAAAGAUCUUUGGUCUCAUGUUGAUGAAAGACAAAACACAGGGGCAAGAUUUCUCAAAUCCCUGUCAUUAUUGCACUGGAGAAAUAAUCCUGGUUUGCUGAAUUGUUUUGAGUCUUUCCUACUGCUGCCAAUAAAUGUAGCUUAUUGCAAUGAUUACCAAAAAAAAGUUUCCCCAGACCAAAUAUCCACUACAAAGAAAGAUGUUUGCUAAAAUAAAAGAGAGAGAGACUUGCUGCCUUGAUUACAGCAAACCACUAAAUGCCUGGAGGAAAGAUGGAGCACAUUGUAGUCCUUGGUGCUUCCCGCAGCCUCUGCUGACUCCAGUUUCCAGUGCUCCACGUCCAUAAAAAUUACUGCUGAAUCCACGGAUGAAUCAGAAUUUUCCUUUGUAAUAACAACCAAGAACACCAUAAGAGGCUGGUGGAUGUUUGGAGGGCCAUGGACAAUGCUGUUGGAAAGAGCCCGAGACUGCAAGUGGAACCCUCUUGCUGCAAAAUGCAUUCCUGUUUAAUCAGCUAAAGAAGCAAUAUUGAACAAGAGCCCUCCGACAGGCCACUCUGCAACAGGAAUCCAUCAGGUCUCAUCUCUCGAGCCAUGUAGCCUGGUAAAACUCGGCCUCUUGUGACCAGACGACCUCACUCAGCAAUGAUGGGAAUUUCCUUAUGUCUUUUAUGGACCUGUUCCUGCAUCAUGCAACGAUACGCAGAGCAGUGAGAGACGGGUGGUUUCAUCAUUUUUUCCAUUAUAAAAUACCUUUCUCUCUUCCCCCUGCCCUUCCCUUCUCCCCCAAGGACCAUUGCAAAUUGACGCAGAGUUGCAGUGGGGUAUUCAGAGGCUUGAUCUCAUCCCUGCUUAAAGAGAAACCCGAUGGGUUAUUUUUAACAUUUAGACACAUCUGAAAAAUGUGAAUGUGGUCUGUUGUUCUGUGAGCCAUGAGUACUCCAGAGACCCAGGCCUGAAAAGAGAAACAGCUUUUAAAUAUUAAGUGGGAGGUACUUGACUGACCUCUUGUAGAUAGAUAUGUACUUGCUACAUCAUGUCUUCAGCUGGGACCAGGGCCAAGUUGGGGCCUCUGCCUCCUCCAGUAUUGCUGACUUUAGCCAUCCCUGAUCUCUGAGGAAGGAGAGAUGAGGACAUGCUCUGUCUCCAGGACACCUUCAUCACCUUCCCUGGCACAUCCAGCCCGAAAUGCCAGUGGUGGUGCAGGAGGGGCUGCAAACCUGGAGCUGGUGGGCUGCUGGCAUGUGAAGGGAUGCUGGCAUCUGCAGGAGCUUUGCAAGGCUGGGGUGUUAGUGGCUAGAGCAGGAGAUGGUGGUGCAUGUUUCCAGAAGCAAAUGACUAGUUAUUUGUUUUAUUUUUUUUUUAUUUUAGUUAGACUUGCUUGUGAUUGAAAGCCAAACUUAUUAACUCUGUGGAGACAAACAUAAGAACUUUGGACCUACUGGGGCUAUGUGGGUUACCAUGCUCUUCCCUCCCUCUUCACCCCUUGAUAUAAACCCUAACCUGGAGUUUUGGAACACAAUGUCUGGUUCAUCCCCAUGACCUGGUUCAUCUUAGUAGUGCUGCCCCGUCCCUUACCCAUAGUGAUGAGGGCUCCUUUCUCCUCCUGCAAGUAGAACAAGGUCCCUUAAAAAGACAAUGUGGAAGCAGCCAGGAUCUAUUUUUUACAAUAAGGGUAGUAAAAUACUGGAACAGGUUGGCCAGAGAGGUGGUGGAUGCCCCAUCCCUGGAGACAUCCCAGGCCAGGCUGAACGGGGCUCUGAGCAACUUGAGCUGGUGAAGAUGUCCCUGCUUAUGGCAGGGGUGGCACUGGAUGAGCUUUGAAGGUCCCUUCAAACCGAAACUUUUCUAUGAUUCUAUUGAUGUGGGUGUGCAAAGCUCUGUGCUUUCUCCCCUAUGGCUUACAGAGUCCCACCAGGCUGGUGUUGGUGGCACAGAUGAGCCCAAAGCCAUGAUGGCAACAUUGACGGUGCCCUGAGACAUGUGCCGCAGCUGAAAUCUCUUGGUAAGCUGGAGGGCUGAUGAAUCACUUACACAAAUUGCUACCUAGGCUCUUCCAGUGUUUAGUUAUAUGGACUAGAAAGGUACUGUUAAAAAAUAAGAGUCUGUUUUUAUCCCAUGAGAGCCCUUUGCAUAAGCCUUUAGUAUCUGAGGUAGUGGGUUAUACAGCCCAAGAGUGAUUGACAAAUCCGACAUCAUUUCUAUCAUCUUGUAUGACAUCCAGUCUUGGUUUAAAUAACGCCACUGAUGGAAAAUCGCCUCCAGCCUUAUGGAUUCAGUCCCACCAUUUAAAACAAAACUGUGCCUCGUUUCUAACUGCAAAUUGUUGUCAGCUGAACACAGCCCUGGCUGAAAUCCAGACCUUAUUGUAUUUACAGCUUUUCAGUUGGAAGGCUGUGGCACGAAUUUACCUUAUCUCACUGGAGGAUACUCGUUACAGCCUGGCUGUCACAUCGCCGUGACUGCAACCAGUGUAGCCGUGUGUGCUGGGACAGGUACAGCAGAGGACUCUUGCUUGCUGACAUGCAUCUCCUGUAGCCAGAGAAACCACCUUUUCCCAAUUUUGUAUACCACCUCCUGUUUGGUGAGAAUUACCCUUUUGGAGGAAGGUACAACACCCCUGGAUGAGGAAGAGCUCUUCUUCUCCCGGGAUGGUGGUUGCUGUUCCCGUAAAAGGCAGAUGACUCAGAGGAGCAAGGGCAUUUUGAACACCAUGUGGUGCAUUUAGGAUGUAGUCAGCAAACUUUGUGAUGGUCCCAGUCCUUGGCCUUUCACAGGGCUGCCUGCACAGGGACUGCAGUUGAAGGCUUCAGUCUGUAGUGAAGAGCCCGUGAGUGUCUCUUGGAAUCGUAGAAAUAUUUUAGUUGGAAGAAAUCCUCAAGAUAGAGACCAAGCAUUAACCUACUUCUGUCUCUAAACCAUGUCCCUAAGAACCUCAUCUCUCUGUCUUUUAAACCCCUCCAGGGAUAGUGACUCCACCACUGCCCUGGGAAGCCUGUUCCAAUGCCCAACAACCCUUUCCAUGAAGAAAUUGUUCCCAAUAUCCAAUCUAAACCUGCCCUGGCACAACUGCCCUGGCCGUUUACUCUCAUCAUAUCCCUUGCUGCUUGGGAGAAGAAACAAACACCCUCCAUACUACAAUCUCCUUUCGGGUAGUUGUAGCACUUGGAAAGAGGGGUUUGUUAGUGGAAAUGUCAAGGAUCUGGAACUGUGAGUGGCCAGAAGUGCUGACGGAGAGAGUCACACUCAAUAAUGUCUGUGAAAAGGCUGCUAUGGGGGACCCUGGCCAGGGACCAAGAUUUCUUUUCUUCUAGGAAGUAGGAAAGCGAUGGUGGGGUCAGGAGAAAGGUGAGAGAGAGGCAUUGGUGGAGAAGUAGCAUAGGUUGCUCAUGGUGAUGUGCAUCUGCUGAGUGGUGUUCACCUCUCCUGGCCUCACACAGCGAUCCUGUCCUUGCCUCAGAGAACCUGGCAUCACUGCAGGUGUAAAGGAACAUCUGUCCAUCGUGCCAGGUGCUAUUAUGGAGGCCAAUGCUAAGAAUGGUUAAAAUAGAAAUGGUAAAAUGCAAGAGGAAGUACUUAUUUGACUUAGUGAUACACAAGCUAUAAAUCACCAAGCUUUUUAAAAGUAAGAUAACAGCUAUUAAACAUGGAAGGAUCUUUUUGAUUAGGUGAACUCUUUUUGAAUUAUUUUCUACCCAGCUAAUCUUUAAUUUCUAAGCUUUUCUCUGCAGCAGCUGUUUGAGUCUAAGGCAGGACACUGGUGACAGCUUCUGCUGGAUGAAGGCUGCUUCCUUGGGCUUUGCAUAGACCUUCUGAAUAGUGACUAUGUUUGAAAACUGCCUACCCGUGAAUGAUCGACGGAGAAAAAAUGUGGUUUGGUAAACCACAUCUGGGCUGUGGCAGCUGCCCAUGCAUGUUCCUCUGGUGUGUGGUGAGAAUGAGCUGUGAUGAUCUGAGAUUUAUGUCAAUGUAAAGGGACACAUCUUUUCUGGUAUCACUGCUGGCUAAAGGGAUGCUUCUGGACUUUGCUGCUGUGCUGUGAUUUGUGAAGCUGAGGCUUAAGAUUGGGUCUGGGUAGAUCUGCAAAAUGAAAAUGUCCGUCAUUGAUUUGUUGCUUGCCUGGAGGAAGACUUCUGCACAUAAAAUGGGUCUGCUGCUAUUGAUUUUGGAUGCCUGUGUUCCUGAAGACUUCACCUUUCCUUGAUGUGAGUGUCACUGUUUCAUUUUCCAGCUAUGUUGCUUUGUGGUGCAGUCAGUGCUGUAAGCUGCAGAUAGAAGGGAAGAGCUGGCUUUUGAAGGGCUGGGAUGCCUCAGUGUGCUUUCUGAUAUGAAAGCAAAUUCCUGCAGAGGUCAGGUCUCUUGUGUUAAUAAAUUAGGGGGAACUGAAAUGGAGAAAAAAACCCUGUAAACCCUUCAAACAAGAGAAAUGUCACCGUGGCUGGAGAGAUGCAAUAGAACAUUGUGAUGGGGCAUCUUCCUCUGAAAAACAACACUCUGGUCUCCAGUACUAAAUAUGGCUAUGAUAUGAGGGACAUGCAGACAGUGCAAUAGAAACUGUAACCUGCUCUCAGGACAAAAUACCACCUUCUAUAUUACAGAACUACUCUCUCCUGGAGCUUCUCCCAUCUUUGGAAAGCCUGCAGUAGUUCUCAGCGUUUUUACCUUUAAACGGCAAAUGUUCAAGUUUCCAGGAAGAGGUUGCAUUAAAGUGUGGACACUUGCAGGUGUUUUCUCAGGGAAGGUUCCACACUCACAUCAAGCUCUGAGUGAGUUGCUCUCUGUGGAUGAAGCCUCCCUUAAGAGGUGAGAUGAAAGGGUGUUGGCUGACAGACUCGAAAUAUUUAUGAUGGAUGCCUAUGUCAACAUAUAAGAUUUUUUUUUCCCCUCUACUGCAAGAUGCUAUGCACCAAAGUAGAACACAUGGUAACUGGACUGGAAGAAUUAGCUUUUGUCUUCUGUCUGCUAGAGAUCUGUGCUAUUUUGAGGCCCAACUUGAACUCAACCUGCCACAGACAUGGGGGACAUCUGUUACGGUCUGGCAGAAGCCAGUGAAGUUACACUAAUGUAAACCCCAAACUUCUGCAUGUGUGGCCUGAUUUGGCUGAAGCAGCAAGCAAAGCAAAUUACUUAUUUCCUCAUACAGUAAUGAAAAGCCCUUGUUCCCAUCGCAGGAAUGAUGAUGGAGCUCUGCCUGACACAUCUGGAAGUCUGGGCUGCAUGCAUCUGUAGGGAAGAGGAGUUGUUUCAGGUGGGAGGGAUGUCUGUGUUCUGGCUGCUCCCAGGGGAGGGACCGGGGCUCCAGCAGAAUUUUAUUUCAGCAAACUGAGCCUGCUGGUGGACUGGCCUGUUGGCAGGAGCAGGGUUGGCAGUGCUGAGAUGGAUAUGACAUGAGAUUGGCUUGUUUAGGAUGGGACCGGUCUCGUGGAAGUUGUUAGUGCCUUUACCUUCGUUUAUCUCUCAGUUGUACUCAAGAUGCCUUGUCUUCCACAUGCAACAGCAGCUCUCAGGAAUCUGCCUUUUAUGAAAGCUGGUACUGAGCUACUGAAACAGCUGUAUGCACAUCUGUCUGGUUUGGAGAGGGAAUGUGGAAAAGACUCCCAUGGUAGCCAUUGGGAGAAAAUAUUUACUCAUUUCUCGAGGUAACAUCUUUUUGUCAACCCAGAUUUGGGACACAAUAUGCACAGCUUCAAAAUAAAGAUCCCUUGUGUGCAAGCUAAUUUUCAAAGAAAUGCAGGAGAAGGGCUCUUAUGGUGGGUUGGUAACCUAUGUGGAACCAAGUGCACUUAAAAAUAAAUAAAAUAUUUUAAAUUUCACUUUGAGAAGGAGUAUCUCAGUGGAACUGAACCCAGCUUGCAUGCCCCUAUAGCAAAUGCAAAAGCACAAAGACAAAUGAAAUGCAAAACAUUUUCCCCUUCCCUCCCACUCCUCCACACAUCUGCCAGUGGUUUCUGACGUGCUCUGAUGUGAGAACAGACUUUGGAACAUCCAGGCCAGCUCCCCAAAGGACAGGGUGUUAGCACAUGCCUGUAUACGUUAGUGAUGAAAAUGGGAAGUAGGAGUGGGGAGGGCAAGAGGUACCAGGGUGAUGCCUUAACUCCUCCCUUCGUAGUGGAGGGGUGGGUUGGAGAAAGUGGAUAAAGCACUGAGUCCUGAAAAGGAACAUCUGAAACAAAUCUGCCAGGGGUACCCUUCUCUGCCUGUCCCUGCAGCAUGCACAGUGAUUUGCAAACCCUCUUGUUGCCUCCAUCACCUCAUCAGUGCCUAUGGCUUCUGUGGCUGACCACAGCACACGCCUGCUGCCUGCCAGCAACUAUGACACGUCUCAUUGUAAUGCCAUGAAAUGUUCUUUUUCAGCGCUGUUUCUCGGGUGAAGCUGGCAGUUGUACCAAGGAAAAAAGAAACAGCAAAUGUUCUCUAGGAGGUCUGGUCGCAGCGGCUCUGUGCAGUCCUUCUGCAGUAUUGGUGGAUAGAGGUGCAUGGGGAAUAUUUUAAACACAUGUAGAAGGUCAAGUUCCUUUCCUCACUGGCUAGUUAUUUUGAAAUCUGGAAUAUACUUGGGUUAAUGUUUCUCCCUUCAGUCUCUGACCCCAGCUGGAUGGUUCACAGUGCUGGAGAGGUGCAGCUCCCUUAUGAAAGAGUUGAUGCCCUAGUGCUGUGUGCAGGAAUGUGUCUCCCAUCCCUCUGUUGAAGGGCUCCAAAGGAUGGAACAUCUCAGCUGCAGGGAAACGUGCUGAGCGGCACUGCUGAGUGCACUCACCUCUUUGAUCGUGGCCAGAUUAUUGGCUUGGCACGCAAGUAGACAGCUGGACUUGGGCUUCCCCAGUGCAGCAGAGAGCAAAUCCGCAGCUCUGAAGGCUCAGUUUCUGCCUGGUGUCUUCAUUCACACCAAACGAUUUGGCUAAGAUGUCGUGAACAAUUCUGCAUGCUCAGCAGGAAAAAUGAGUGGGUGAAUAAGUAGAAUUUCAGCUCAAAUGGGGCUUUGUUGCUGCCUCUUGGCUUGUGUCGACUUCAGCUCCCACCAUUUCCCUGGCUCAUCCUGAAUUAUAACUUGUCAUGGCAUUUUGUGGAACUGACUCAAUUGCUCAUGAGGAUUUUUCCAUGAUGUUAAAGCCUGGAUUAUAGUCACAGAGUCUCACUUUUUCUGUAAAAGCCAUGACCUGGAGGAUCAUAAGAUGGAAUACAGGAUUUAUACAUGUGGGACCGGUAAAGUGUGUCUCCUGGAAGGGCCACUCAACUCCUGCACGACUUGCAUUAAAUUCUGCAUCCAGACAGCACAGUGGGAAGUAUAACUUGUUGAACUCAGUGAAGAUCUUGCUGCUCACACAUGAUGUCUGACAGCUGCUUGCAAUCAAUGUUUUUCCAAGUCUUCCUGGUCUCUGUACUUUGAUUUCAAAGCUCAAAAGGUGCUUCUCAGACUUUAUCAUAUCUGUAGUGACUUAUGUCAAUAUUGAGCCUAUAGAGGACAUAGAUAUUGUUUUUUUUCAGCAAACUACUCCUUUAAUAGUGAGCAUUAGCUUUCUGAAUACCAGUUCAAACUGUGUAUGAAUGGUGUCCCAAUUUAGACACAAUACUGCGUCUCCAAAGCCUUCUGGGAUGAUGUUGCUGGAAAAAUAUUCCUGUGGCCACUGUUGUGCCAAUGUUUUAAUCCAUCUUUUAAUAAACUGUAACUGAAGAACA
Molecule: long non-coding RNA, 18268 nt
Organism: Columba livia (rock pigeon)
Lineage: Eukaryota; Metazoa; Chordata; Aves; Columbiformes; Columbidae
Exons: 5
Source: RefSeq, a predicted model, not a curated record